AGCAGCCGCGGUAAUUCCAGCUCCAAUAGCGUAUAUUAAAGUUGUUGCAGUUAAAAAGCUCGUAGUUGAAUUUCGGGGUUAGUAGGUUGGUCAUGCCUCUGGUAUGUACUGGUCUCACUGAUUCCUCCUUCCUGAUGAGCCGUAAUGCCAUUAAUUUGGUGUUGCGGGGGAUUUGGACUGUUACUUUGAAAAAAUUAGAGUGUUUAAAGCAAGCUAACGCUUGAAUACAUUAGCAUGGAAUAAUGAAAUAGGACGUUCGAUCCUAUUUUGUUGGUUUCUAGGAUUGACGUAAUGAUUAAUAGGGAUAGUUGGGGGCAUUAGUAUUCAAUUGUCAGAGGUGAAAUUCUUGGAUUUAUUGAAGACUAACUACUGCGAAAGCAUUUGCCAAGGAUGUUUUCAUUAAUCAAGAACGAAAGUUAGGGGAUCGAAGACGAUCAGAUACCGUCGUAGUCUUAACCAUAAACUAUGCCGACUAGGGAUCGGAUGAUGUUAAUUUUUAAUGACUCAUUCGGCGCCU
RNAcentral lists this ribosomal RNA (517 nucleotides) under uncultured Glomus. RNAcentral describes it as "SSU rRNA". It matches the Rfam family "Eukaryotic small subunit ribosomal RNA", at positions 569 to 1088 of the family's 1831-position model. Lineage: Eukaryota; Fungi; Glomeromycota; Glomeromycetes; Glomerales; Glomeraceae. The record is from RNAcentral.